Molecule: ribosomal RNA, 468 nt
Filed under: uncultured bacterium
Lineage: Bacteria
Description: partial 16S ribosomal RNA
Rfam family: Bacterial small subunit ribosomal RNA
Source: RNAcentral
GACGAACGCUGGCGGCGUGCUUAACACAUGCAAGUCGAACGGAAAGGUCCUGCUUUUGUGGGGUGCUCGAGUGGCGAACGGGUGAGUAACACGUGAGUAACCUGCCCUUGACUUUGGGAUAACUUCAGGAAACUGGGGCUAAUACCGGAUAGGAGCUCCUGCUGCAUGGCGGGGGUUGGAAAGUUUCGGCGGUUGGGGAUGGACUCGCGGCUUAUCAGCUUGUUGGUGGGGUAGUGGCUUACCAAGGCUGUGACGGGUAGCCGGCAUGAGAGGGUGACCGGCCACAUUGGGACUGAGAUACGGCCCAGACUCCUACGGGAGGCAGCAGUGGGGAAUAUUGCACAAUGGGCGGAAGCCUGAUGCAGCAACGCCGCGUGCGGGAUGACGGCCUUCGGGUUGUAAACCGCUUUCGCCUGUGACGAAGCGUGAGUGACGGUAAUGGGUAGAGAAGCACCGGCUAACUACGUG